AAAGGAGCUUGCUUCUUUUGGAUGAGUUGCGAACGGGUGAGUAACGCGUAGGUAACCUGCCUUGUAGCGGGGGAUAACUAUUGGAAACGAUAGCUAAUACCGCAUAACAGCUUUUGACACAUGUUAGAAGCUUGAAAGAUGCAAUUGCAUCACUACGAGAUGGACCUGCGUUGUAUUAGCUAGUAGGUAGGGUAACGGCCUACCUAGGCGACGAUACAUAGCCGACCUGAGAGGGUGAUCGGCCACACUGGGACUGAGACACGGCCCAGACUCCUACGGGAGGCAGCAGUAGGGAAUCUUCGGCAAUGGGGGCAACCCUGACCGAGCAACGCCGCGUGAGUGAAGAAGGUUUUCGGAUCGUAAAGCUCUGUUGUAAGAGA
This 380-nucleotide ribosomal RNA is filed under the name uncultured Streptococcus sp. Its description in RNAcentral is "bacterial SSU rRNA". It matches the Rfam family "Bacterial small subunit ribosomal RNA", at positions 72 to 445 of the family's 1533-position model. The record is from RNAcentral. Lineage: Bacteria; Bacillati; Bacillota; Bacilli; Lactobacillales; Streptococcaceae.